RNAcentral lists this long non-coding RNA (215 nucleotides) under Capsicum annuum. RNAcentral describes it as "long non-coding RNA (CANN_LNC004803)". The record is from RNAcentral. Lineage: Eukaryota; Viridiplantae; Streptophyta; Magnoliopsida; Solanales; Solanaceae.
GGGCGGAUCUGAAGCACCAGAUGGAGUGCCUCCAAGCCGAAGAUCUGAAAACCCAAUAGAUCCCGCAGAAUCACUGUGUGAAGCUGCAUGACUGCUGCAGGAGGGUAUCGAUGAUGGUACAUGUAUGGAGGGGCCAACGGCUGUACAAUAGUACUGUGCUGGUGGUGGCACGGUCAUAGGAGCAGAAUGAGUCGGUGCAGAUCCAUGUAGUGGCC